GGAGAGGUCGCAUAGUGGCCGAGUGCAGCGGUUUACUAAACCGCCGUAGGGUAACCUACCGUGGGUUCGAAUCCCACUCUCUCCGCCA
This 88-nucleotide transfer RNA is filed under the name Candidatus Woesebacteria bacterium. RNAcentral's name for it is "tRNA-Ser". It matches the Rfam family "tRNA". From Rfam's summary of the family: Transfer RNA (tRNA) molecules are approximately 80 nucleotides in length. Their secondary structure includes four short double-helical elements and three loops (D, anti-codon, and T loops). Lineage: Bacteria; Candidatus Woeseibacteriota. The record is from RNAcentral.